ACGACGACAACGACGCCGACGACGACAACGACAACAUUUGCCGUGGUGGUAGUAGCUGUAGUAGCGGUAGUAGUAGUAAUCGUGGAAGAAGACCGAGCAGGAGAAAGGGAUAAGAACGAAGGAGGACAGAACGAGCGUUGGAGGCCUGGAGGAAGGAGGAGGCUGACUGAUCGGCAGAGUAGAGGAGAAAGAGCACGCCUGCGCGGAAUCCCCGGGCGGGCGCGGGCAGUGCCACUGGAGGCCCGGCGGUUUCAGAGCUUCGCCCGGGACGACGAACCGCAGACGAGCCGUACGCAAAACUCGGUCGUAGUUAGCCGUGUCGAAGGAACGUCGGAAAAACGGCAAAACCACGCGACGAAGUAAGCCCCUGGUGACAGCUCGCGAGUAGCAGCGUUUUUUAAUCGUUCGAUCGACGGGGAGAGAGCGUGUCGGCCACUUUGGGCACGCAUCGCAUCGGGGGCAAGGGCCGCGGCGGACACCUCGUGAGAAACGAUCGAGCAUAGAUCGGAACGGUGAAACGAUCCGACAGUUCAUCGGGAGAUAAUGUGAUCAGUGAAAGAAAAGGAAAAGCACGCCGAUCGGUGGUGAGAUCCGACGAAGAAACGUGCGCGAUCCGACCAGGAAACGUACACCGGUGAGAGGGGUGCUGCUAUGCACGAGGCCUGGUAGCGCCGAGAGCCAAGGAGGAUGAGCAGCGUGAUAACAGAGGACUAGGUGCGAGGAGGUUCGCCGGACGCCAGUGCACUGGUGUGCUGGUCGUUCUCGGAGAUGUCAGUGGACCCGUCGAAGGGGAUCGCGUCGUCGUUCUCGUCGUCGUCACUGUCUUCGUCAUCAUGAGGAGAUCCUCUUACGUGAACUACUACGUCUUGUGCCUCGUGUGCUGGAUUCUCCUAGGCAUCACCGGGGUGAGCACAAGGUCUCAUUCGUUGGUGAAGAGGUUCGACGGGAUUUACACGGGGCCGUACUUCGACUCAAACACCCCCACGAACGUCACGGCCCAGUUGGGAAGGCAUGCGUACUUGCCGUGCAGAGUGCGACAGCUUGGUAAUAAAUCAGUGUCGUGGGUCAGGAGAAGGGACUCCCAUAUCCUCUCAGUAGAUAGAACUAUGUUUAUCCCGGACGAAAGGUUCCAGGCGCUUUUCGUGGACUCGGUGGACAGCUGGACCCUGCAGGUUAAGUACGUCCAGGAACGCGACGAAGGCGAGUACGAGUGCCAAAUCUCGACCGACCCGAAAAAGAGUCACAUCAUCAAGCUCAACAUCGUCGUGCCAAAGAUCGAGAUCAUAGGCGACCGCGACAUGUACGUGAAGACCGGGAGUACGGUCGCCAUACGGUGCAUAAUCAAACAGUCCCUGGAAGGGCCGUUCUACGUUUUCUGGUAUCACGAGGGCGACCGGGUUCUGGACAAUCAGUUGGGCAAGAUCGAAAUCCAGACGGAGAGGAUCAAUAACGACACGGUCAGCAGUCUCGAGAUCCGCAACGCGAGGCGGGAGGACUCGGGCAAUUACACUUGCAGCCCGAGCAGUUUCGACAGCGCGAGCGUGCAGCUUCACGUGUUGAAUGGUGAACAUCCCGCCGCGAUUCAAAGAGGGAUGAACUCGGCACCGGGUGGUUGUCCAACGUUGUGGUGGCUGGCGGGCGUCGUGACGCUGUAUUCGAGUCACGGCAGCCGGCUGUUCCCCCUCGUGGCCCUUCUGAUCCUCGUGGUCCUUUGUUACCCGAAGAACCCGCCGUAUUUCGCGCCGGAACGAUAAUCAGGAAUGAGAGGGAGCACGGUGUCGCAAGAUGAUCGAUCAUCUCCUGCUACGAGACCCGGGAAGCGCCUCGAAGAACACUCCGGCGAGAAGAGACGCGAGGACGGAGCGUGUGUGCGGGCUUUCUCAGGAAUCGAUUUCGUGAACGGGAAAAGAACGAGGACGAUCAGCAAGGGAGACCGCGAGAAGAAUACACGGCGUGAAGCAAACGGCGAACGAGGGUGGUCUAAUGGUUCCUUUCGGUCAGCGAUUAACGUUUUCCUUUCCGAGGUACGAGGUCGACGGAGGCCCGAGAUUCCGGUCGGUCCCUCCGAAAGGAGGACCGUCCGCUGUCCUGUUCGUUUCGCGGAGACGAUUCCGCGGUCGUCGUUCGUCUCGACGGGUCGGCAGCAGUGAUCGCGAGCGCCGAGAACACGUCGUCUUCGUUGCCCGACCGUCUCGAGCACCGGCGAAACCUUUACAACGAACCGUUCAGUUCGAGCAGGUAGAUCGAAAUCGUCGACGUUUCGACGACGCCGACUACCCUGCGCCAGGAAGGGGGACUCAAGGGUAGAGAGAGCGAGAGAGAGAGAGAGAGAGAGAGAGCGAACGAGAGCGAGAGAGAGAGAAGAGAAACGAGACAAUGUGAUCGAUCCGGCCGUUAGUAAUUAGGGAUUAAUUAAAUCUCGCGGGGGUUCUUGUUAAAUCGGCGCGAGUUCUUCGCGCGGUCGAACACGGGGGAUGGCGAACGACACGAAGCUCGCGAACACACUGUCCCACGGGAACGAGAAAGGGCACGAGAGCGAGCGAGAGAGAGAGAGAGAAAGAGAGAGAGAGAGAGAAAGAGAGAAAGAAAGAGAGAAAGAGAGGGCAAAGAUUUUUUAUAGAAGCCACGAGACAUUAAACGACUCCACGAUCUUCCGUGAAACACGUACGAUAGAACGUUUUGUAUCUGCGUAUCGAUUCGCAUCGAUCGUUUUAAGAAAUUCGAAGCGUCGUCGCGUCGCGUCGCGUCGCGCGAAAUCAUUGUAUAUGUUCAUCCGGAGCUGUCGUCGAGGAGAAUCGGUCCCGCGGCGGGAGAAAACUGAAACGCAAGCUCGAAACGAGAUCCCCGGCUUACUCAUUGUUCAUCAUUGUCAAAAGGUGUUCCGUGAUCUUCGUGUCUUUCCCCGGCGGGAAGCCAAACAGCGGCGAAGUCUCCGAGAUCGAUCGCGGGAUUCUGUCGAGGACACUGCGAGGGUUUCGUAGUUUCUUUCGCAUCGAGAUUCACUCGAUGAGACGCGCGCGCGAGUGUGUGAUUCCAGAAGGGUGGCUACGGAUCGCGGGGGUGGGAAGCACCGUUGGUUCGGCGAGCAAACGAAAAAUAAUGGGAUCGCGAGAAGGGGAUCGCUAAAUGCUGACGGAACUUCGUCCGCGCCGCUCCACAGAAUUGAGACUUGUUCGAUGGAUUUUUUCGAGGCGAUGUGAUUAAUUAUAUUCGAAUAGGAAACGAUUAGCGAAACAACGUGUCUAUGCUCGACCGUCUUACCGCGGCCGUCCCGGGAUCGUCACGAGCAAGCCGACAAUCGUCUCGACGAUCGUCAACGUCUGACGGUCCGUCGAAACAGUCGCACACGCGCCAGGUACGCGCUCGAUAUGUACUAUUUUUCCUCGGUUUCCUCUGCUUUACUUUCACACCACAGAGAUUACCGGAACGAGGGAAGUCGACGGUCGCGAACACAGUCCAAGGCAACGUUCCGAAACGAUUCGGUUUCUUGAUUUCAGAGAAUCCGGCGAGGUCUUUGUAAUGCCAGAGAGGAAGCCGGCACUUGUUGGCUGCCGACGAUUAUUCUUAUAGAGCCACGAUGAUCGAGAAGAGGAGAUUUUAACGGGGGAACGUGUCCGCUUUGAAACGCGGUCGCGUCUGUUCGGUUAAAUUGAAGAAUACGCUUAAUAGACGGGCAUCUUGAAAAGAUCCCUGACUUAACGGAAAUCAUAUUUUAUCGUAUAUCGAUCGAUGCGUUGAAGAGUUCGUAUAGAAGGGUUUACGUUGAAAACGUGACUAUUGGAUGCUGCUAUUUUCAAAGAGCGUGCAUCGCUUCCGACCGAAUUAGUUAGCGAGUAUCUUCGUCGUCGCUCUCAGAUUAUAUUCUUCCCUCUUUUUUUCCUAAAACGCUUCGCGCGAGAUGCAUUGAAAACUCCCGUCGGAUGCGAUAAAAAUAACGCGUGCAUGUGUACGCGAUGCUCACGGCUGAUACGUAAAAGCAGAAGUUUUAUUUAUGGAAAAUCGUUUCCUUCGUGUCACCGCCGCCGGGUCGAACGAAUAUCGAAGAGAUUAUCUAAGAGCGCCGCGUGUGUCCGAGACGCGGCAACGAUACGAACGGUAAUAAGGAAUCCGAAGCUUCGAGCGACGACUCCGGCGACACCCUUAUCGUAAGUUUAAUCCCCGAGGAUGGUAGCGUCCCCGAUAAUUCUCGUUCAUAUCAGACGACGAGGUCGACCCCUCCAUAUCAGAGCUGCUUCGCAGUUCCUGAACGUUCUGGUAGCGAACCGAACCGUGUGCGUCGCGGCGGUAACUCGUCCGCGGAAACCUCGUUAACUUCGCGGCGCGGUCGCGCGCCGCCUGUUACAUUUGACACUGCCUGUUACAUUCGACACUGCCUAUUACAUUCGACACUGCCUUCGUUGUUUUCCGUGUCCGCGGAGACCCAACCAAAAUGGAGCAGACACGCAAGGCGUACCUCGAACGCCUCGCGACGAUCCACGGUGACGGAGAUUUUGGUAUUCGAAGCGCAUUGAGCAUAGACACGAGCCAACUAAAAGUCUUAUAUGUCCGUGCAUGCGUGUUAGAAUUCACAACGGAAUGGGUCAGGAGGGUGCGGGACUACGAAUUAGCAAGCACGACGAUGUAUCGGGGUUCGAUCCGCGAGUACCGUUGAAAUUGGAAACAUUUCGAAACUCGAAAUCAUAAGUCUCUUCGAUCCGAGGAACUUCCUAAUAAACGAGCUUCCAAUAUCGAUCGAUAAACUCACUAAACAUGAGAUAAUCGUAGUGGGAAGGAUAUAACGCGCGAGCGUGGAAUCGUCGGACGUCACGCAACCACACCGAAGAACCUCGGUUCCGACUUGUUUCUUGUGUUCAUUUCUAAUGUUAAUUCACCUAGUCCACUCGAAACGUGGUCGAACGAGAAGGAGGUGGGAGGAACGUCCCUGAAUAAAGUAAAGAAGAACCGAGAAAGACCGAUGAUCCUUCGAUUCUCCCUCCUAUCGUCCGAGCUUACGCGAGAGAACCAUCUUCUUGCGCACGGUUUCGCUACAUUUCAUUCGAAACAGUUGAUUCCAAGUAUUGUAAACGACAAUCGCAAUCACGGUUGUCACAAUAAACGAAAUUUCAAUGUGUGAAUAAUUAUAAUAUUAUAUAUAAUAAUAUAUAUAUUAUAUAUACAAUUUAUUAUAUAUAUAUAUAUAAUAUAUAAUAUAUAUAAUAAUAUAUAUAUUAUAUAUAAUAAUAAGGUGUGAAUAAUCUGUUCAUGUAAGAAUCCGAAUAAACGAGAUAACGUAUCCUUUCCACUGAUAAUUCUCUACACUUUGCAGGUUCUCGCCUACUUCCACGUGAUGUCUUUCAAAUUUUAUCGAUCGAUAGAUAAGCAAUGGUAGCGGAACGUUGAUAGUGUAUUAGAGAGUCGCCUGUGCGACACAGGACCCAUACCGUUUUUAACGUUGUGCAUGUUCGGCUGUAUAAACGUACGGACGGACAGCUUUUUCGGGCCGCCUGAGGCGUUCCGUGAAUUUGCUUUCUUCUCGCAAGCGUUAGGGGAUACUGUUUUUUAUAAUAUUAUAUAUAUAAAUAUAUAUAUAUACAAACGAGACAGAUAAAUAUAUAUAUAUGUAUAUGUGUGUACGCGCGCGCGAAUACGUUGCACAAUGGUGUUGAAGUAUUGAACAAGUUUCAGCUCGGCUCUCUCCCGGGAAAAAGAGAGAAAGAGGGAGACGGCGGGAGAGGGUGGGAGAAAAGAGGAAGAGAGAGAGAGAGAGAGAGCGAGCGGCGCAACAAACGUCACGGGAAUACAGUGGGUUAGAGUUAAAGAAAUGUUUUCGCCGGGCGAGUGCAUGGACGUAAUCGUGAUGAAAGACUGUGAAUAAUCGUGAAGAAAGUGAAAGAGAUGGAGGGGAAAGAGAAAAAGAGAGAGAGAGAGAAUGAGAGAGAGAGAGAGAAAUAGAGAAAUUGUCGAAGUAGGAGCAGCGGGAGAAGAAGACUAGCUGUACGAGACCGAACGAUACGUUAGAAUAUCUACGAUUCAUGUGAUUGUAAAUACAUAGUAUAUAAAUAACGUAACGUUAAUUAACGAUAUGCCGUACGUGUUACACUAAAGCAACAAACAAAAAAAAAUGAAAUAAAUAACGUUACUGUGUAAUUUCUCGGAUCGUAAACGCAUUCGAAUGGGUCUGGCCGCCCGUGCUAACCGACUCGGGGUUGUUUCAGAAGACAAUAGCGGCUACUGAGAAAGUCUGAGGCUCGUUUGAUCUCUCGUUCCACCUUUUUCCAUUCUUUUCACUCUCGGAGUCUGGAUCGGUAUCGACAUAUCCGCAAUCUUUCCUUCCCCGCAUGGAUCAUUUAUCCCGUCUUUGAAUUCUACUCGCCGACAUUCUCAGUUCUACGAUUUGUUUCUAAACCAUAUGCCAGUAUGCUAUGCUCGGAGAAGGCUUUUACGCAAGCAUAGGUCGUUUGAAGUCCACCUUAUAAGGCUGUAAACAUACGGGGCACAAAGGGAACGAUAACGAAGCCCGUGGUUAGCGUGAUGCAGAGUGGAAAGUAUGUAGAUCAGUGGCAAUAUUAGGGACAGUGGUGGAAAGUUCUAUACAAUAACUCCAACGAUCUCGAACAGUGGACACAAUUCGUGUAGACAAACUAAAAUGUAAAUAUCGUAGCGGACCGCGCGAACCGGUACUUCGUGUUUUUGUUAUAACUCCGUGCGGCGUCCAGUGUCUUAUUUAAUGGUUUUCGUUGCUGUAUUCUGAUCAAAUGCACUGAUAAAGUUUGGUCGAGCAAAUUCGGAUCGAGCUCGUUUCUACAGAAGUUUCGAUUCCUGCAAAGUUAUCUUCGAUUUAAAAUUCAUACCACUGUAUGAACUUACUGUUAACGAAACUGUGAGAACUUCCCAAUGGCCCUAAUUAUUGCAUUUAAUUCUUUUUAACUUGUUACUCGGAGAUGUGGAAUAUACUCGCCAUUUUCAUUCAUCAACCCUUGCGUAGAUACUAAUUUUCGUUGAACACACUUUCGCGUAUUCGUUAAAAAGACCCAUAUUGAUCUUAGUAAUAUUACUUAAUGAUUUUAGGUAAUUAUCGUCCCUUGGUACUCAUGUCCACGCGACCGAUUAGAAAAGCAUUUUGUUAACAUGUUACAAGUGUUAUAAGUGGAAUAAUAAUACGUUCACCGACAGACGGCGUUAAUCCUCGUCCAGCCACUGGUGCAUCAAUCGCGACCUAUGUUUCGAUCUUGACAAAGUCGCACGCGCAUCGAUCCCAUCGCUUGCUUUCUUUCGACGGACCUUCUCCUCUUUUAACUAUAAGCAUCGUUAGAUAAUAUUUUGUACCGAAACGAUUAGUUUAAAGAACGUAGAUAAUAAAUCGUCUGGUACCGUUUCCGUUUGGCUGCCCGAGGGUCAACGCGAGACGGUGCUGCGGAAGCGAGCGCAGCAGGAGAGGACGAAAGUUCUGGUAUAAAAACAGAGAAAGACUGAACAUAGCGACAAAAAGUGAAAAGGAAGAGAAAGAAAAGGAACGGGUGGCGCAGGGGGGCAGCACCGGCGCGCAUGCUUUUUCUGGCGCGUCGGUGCAACGAGACAACAAAAAGGGAUGCAGCUGCGAGCAGCUCGUCCCUGGGUAGCACGGGCCGGCCACACGCGACUAGAUGUAACACUAAUUAACGCCUAGCGUAAGAACUAACGGAUAUAAAUGAAGGGAUAUAUUGUCUGACAUAAUAACCAGGUGUGAACGUACACGCGUAUACGUGAUGUCCGCGGGCAGCAUGCAAUGACUGUCUCUCUGCGCGUGUAUGUGUGCAUGCGUGCGUGCGUGUGACGCUCGCGCGAGCGUGAGGCGAAAGCAAGGGAGAGUAUGUAAGAACGGACGAAAGAGAGUGCGAGAGCGAGAGAGAGAGAGAGAGAGAGAGAGAGAGAGAGCGGACAGAGAGCGAUGAACACGAGCGAGCGAAAGAAUAAACAGGUGAGAAAGGGACACAUACACACGCGAGGGUAAGAAAAUUAAAAGAAAAAGGGGCUUGUUCGUUGGACUGACGCGGCAAGGCGUUGGUCGAAUGAAGCACUUUAAAAUAGAAAGAGGCGACCGAGGACAAUCUUUCUUGUACCGUUUCUUCCCUUUCUUCGUGGAGCGCCUCGCGAGGCCACUCGUGGCGAAAACAUAAAGAGAAAGGGCCAACGAUAGGACUCGCCUCGCGACCGCAAUUAAAGUUCGCGCCCUUUAUUCUCUGGUGCCAGCCCGGCGGCCCCCGCCACCCCUCGCGAGGCGGAAGAAGAAAGUUAUAAUUCCCGCGCUUGUCCUCGUCGCCUCCUUUAUUACAACCGAACUAACAAAGAGGGGACGAAAGUCCGGGGCUAACGACGACCUGUGUCGGAGUGACGAUUAUAACCACAAACGACGAUGUUGACGGAGAUGAUAACAAUGAUAACGAUGAUAAAUGAAUUUGAUGAUGGUGAAUUAAAUAAAAACGUCGUCUAAGGUAUACUAACGUUGUAGACAGCAUUGAAUUUUUGUACCAUUGUCUAUAGUAGCUCUUAAGUGCCGCGGAGUUUUCAGUUCUUAGAGUUGCCCGCCUGCGCAGGCUUGCGUACGUAUUUCUCUAUGUAUUCUCGGUUUUAUCGAUGGCUCGCGGGGGCGGAUGUUGAUUUCGAGCAUUGUUAGCGUCCACGAGACUUUCAUUUCGUCGUGUGCGUUACUUCGAACGAACUUGCGUCGAUGAAUGUGCGGCCGCGUCAGUGGUUCCUCGUCGUUCGGCCCGGCAGAUUCGUAUUUUAUUACGCGAACUUCGCCGCGACUCGAUUCUAUCGGAUACUACGGUUACGUAGGCGAGAGCGAGACAAAACGAUUGGGAACCGCUGACUCUCCUUAGAAACCAUCCCCUAUUCCGCCAGAGAUUUCAUAUUAUUCCCGCGUGUCGCGCCGGGCGAAGGCCGUUUCUAUGAUUCUUGCCGCUCGUUGCUGCGCGAUACACGCAGUGAGUUGCCCAAGACUCGCCUAAAUGUCUCAAUUAUUUUUAAUGACACGGAAAAGUUUCCAAAAGUAUUGUUUGUCCUAGCUGGCGAACGAUGAAAAGAACUUUCUGGCCGAGCAAAUAUUUUCUAAAGGUCCAAAUUUCUAGAUUCUUCACAUUUCGCAGACCAGUAGGGUUAUUUAACGAUCGCUACCAUAUCAAGAAUAAAUUUCCAUUGGAUACUAACAAAUUACCUUUUACUACUACCUUCAAAAGCCUAAUAACAGGCUUCCGGUAGCUAAAAUAUCAAUAACGUCAUAAAAAUAAGGUUAAAUUUAAUUUAACCAUUAAAUGCAAUACCGUAUAAUUUUUAGUUUUUAUGAAGGAAUAAUAACGCCUUGUAUUAGCCCUUUACAAGUACCUUCGCCGAUGAUAAAAAUCCAUGAAGUUACGCUCACGAGACCAUGGCGGAUAAUUCCUGCCUAGCUAAAUCUCGCAUAUGUGUACAUAAGCUAUUUCUAACAAAAAGACAUUAUUUUAAUACUGAAGCAACUACGUUGUGAAAUAAUACUAGCAGUACUACAUUCAUAUUUUGCACUCGAAGCCAUUUUAACACUGAUUUCAAAAUAGUGUUUCCAUUUUGUAUGACUUAAGUGCGUGUUAAAUAAAUGACAUUGAAUUGUGCAACAAUUACACGUUUAACAAUUUUGAAAAUAUAAACAAAUUCGAUAAUGUUGAAAUGAUUUUGAUAUAACAAUGAUUUUGAUAAUAUAACUAAAUCAAUGUUUCAGUUACUUGAAGUCGCAUUCAAUAUAGCGCCCAAGCAAAUGGCCGUCAAACAGUUACCAAUACGCUAAUACACCUGCGCAAGUAAUCGCAUAUUGCACCGCUGGAUGCAUUAAAAUCUGAAUAUUCUAUCGAAGACGACAUCGAUAGAAUAUUUAGGUUUUAAUGCAUUUUAAGGCGACAUAAUCUUGUAACGUUAGAGGAAAGAUCAGCGAAAAGAGAUUUUUUUACAUCGGGAUAUCCGCCGCGAAUACAUUCUCUCGUGGAAAUUUUCCAGUGUCAUUAAAGACCACGGACGGCGCUAGUCUUGGAGACUAACCGCAGUUAAAUCUGCGCAGCAAGCCAGUCAAGCAGUAAGUAUCAUUGAAGCGCGAUGAACGAUCAAUUUUACCUACUCCAGCGUCACCGUACACCCCUCGGAAAGAUGAAUAUGAAUCGAUUUACUUAAGUUAAAUCCGCCCCAGCGACACAACACGCGCCUGUUCCCGAGAGUCGCGGUACGCGAACAUCGAAAAAAGAUCCUUUUUCGUGUGAUGAUUGACCGUCCUGACAGUUCGUCGAUGUGCUCUUACGCGUAGAUGCACGAGCUAGUUUUGUCGAUAGUAGAUAAAUAUGUAAAGACAGAGAAAGAAGUGCGAUUCUACCGUGGACGAAAGGAAGCCCAACGAACCCCGUUACCACUGGAACACCGCAGCGCCGCCAUCGAACCGAUCUAUCGAUAAAUACGUCUGAGAUAUUGUCUUCCGCGCGCAUGCGCGGUCGGUCGUACGGUGGUGGUCGUGUGGCUGACGGUUGAAUUCGCCGGUAAAACGAUCUCACGGGAGAGCACGUGAACUUUUGUCGAAGAAACUUGUAUACUGUUGCGGUGUGAAUCGAUUGCCCGUAAAUAGUGUCUGAGAUAAUAGCGUUGAUAAAACCACGAGGAACGUACAUGUAUGUAUGAUUAUAGUGAUUUUAACCCUCUACCGCUUACUACUGCUGUGUCGGCCAUGGAAGGCAUCAUAGGGUACUUAUUUGCGACGAUAUCGGAACGCCUUGUAAGUAUAGAUAACUUUUAAGAAAAGAAAAACCAAGUACGUACCUCUUAGAUGAAUCCUUCUUGACAUGAUUCUAUUUCUGUUCGUUUCGUUUCGUCGGAAUUAUAUAUCGAUUUAACCCUGUCACCGGUUUGAUUCGUCUCGUAAUAUUUUCUAUUUUUCUGUACGUUCGUUCGCGGAUCUUGGCGAUCGUGUUUACGUACAACCAGUUCGUAAUAAGAACAGAACAGAAUCUUAGCUGUGGAGGGUUAGAAACGAAUAAAGGGUUAUACAGUCGAUCGUCGAUCGAAACGCUCGGGACGGCGAGAAACUUUCAUUAAAAUCCUUCUCGUAAUCGGUAACGUCGUGCGAUCCGUCGCGUUUUUCGUAUCGCACGACGAGCAAAGAGGCCGCGGGCAUCGAGGCUCCAUGGAUCUCGAUAGAGCGCACGUCGAUGCCCAAGAUCCGGAGUCUCGAUCGCAACGAUGGGAAAAAGCAACCUGUCGAAACGUUUCAGUUUCCGAGGUGUAUCUUCCCAUAAACGACCGUUCUCACACGUAGCUAAUGGGUCUAACUAAAACGUUAACGAGUGCCGUUUGCCGGUUCGAACGUUCGACGAAGCUGAUGACAAUUAAUUACGCGCAACGUACAAUCGACUGAAAGCGACGACGAGUCGGAGAAACUUAGGGAAAAGGACGAUGGAAAAAAAUGCGUUUGUCGAGCGCCCGAAUAAGCGAACAAUCGAUUUAAAGCUAACGUAUAUUCAAUGACGACGACAUUCGAAGAAAAUAAAGAAAGAAAUAUCCCUCGAAACAAGAGCCUUGUCUCGCAGAUUCCCGGCUGCGCACCUUGAACACUGUAGGGUAAAGGGGAAUAGACUUUUAACGAAUCUGCGAGGUGACGCCUAGGAACAAUUGUUUGGACGAGCGCAGUUGUCGAAACGAACGGAAAUGGGAACGCGUGGGUACAGUGUUUAUGUGAGUUAGAACGGAAGAACAUACAACAGGAUCAGAAAAAAACAAGAAUGAGAGAGAGAGAGAGAGAGAGAUAAUAAAUCAAUGUUAAACUGAUCACUAUCGAUUUGCAAUUUUGAGAAACACAUCUUCGUUAUUCGCCAUUUUCUCUACAUAUGUUCAGCCUCGGUUUCGCAAUCUGGACGCCAAUCUCCAUUAGGCAUAUAGAUCGCAGCUGAAGCUGAUGCUGUGUGUGGGACAUUCGUGAAAGAGCCAAAACAUAAACCAUCUCGGACCAACCGACAUCGACGCCGAACUUAUUUUAUGCAUCAGGGGAUGUUUAGAUGCGAGCGUUAAAUACCCACAAGGCAGCAUCGUCCAUCUCGAAGUACACAUUACACACAAUUCUCAGCGUUUCCGUUUUUUCAAAGUAUCACGACAACAAGGACGAGGAGAAUUAUGUCUCGUUCUAUGUGUGUAAGAACCAUAAAGCUUAAUGAAGAACAUUAUACUAUGAACUUACGGGAUACUAAAUAAAAGUAAGCCAAACCGUUAA
Megalopta genalis is the source of this 12232-nucleotide non-coding RNA. The record is from RefSeq and is a predicted model, not a curated record. Lineage: Eukaryota; Metazoa; Arthropoda; Insecta; Hymenoptera; Halictidae.